UGUACAAAUUAUUGUAUUCGACUGUAUUCUCGGCGUGAAACAGGGGAUUACACUGUUUUUAAAUAGAAAGUGAAUCAAUUAACAUAAUAAACUCCU
Molecule: microRNA precursor, 96 nt
Filed under: Nicotiana sylvestris (wood tobacco)
Lineage: Eukaryota; Viridiplantae; Streptophyta; Magnoliopsida; Solanales; Solanaceae
Description: MIR6152 microRNA precursor family
Rfam family: MIR6152 microRNA precursor family
Source: Rfam by way of RNAcentral